AGUGAACGCUGGCGGUAGGCCUAACACAUGCAAGUCGAACGGCAGCACAGUAAGAGCUUGCUCUUAUGGGUGGCGAGUGGCGGACGGGUGAGGAAUACAUCGGAAUCUACUUUUUCGUGGGGGAUAACGUAGGGAAACUUACGCUAAUAUCGCAUACGAUCUACGGGUGAAAGCAUGGGAUCUUCGGACCUUUGGCGAUUGAAUGAGCCGAUGUCGGAUUAGCUAGUUGGCGGGGUAAAGGCCCACCAAGGCGACGAUCCGUAGCUGGUCUGAGAGGAUGAUAGGCCGCACUGGAGCUGAGCCGCGGUCCAGACGCCUACGGGAGGGAGCAGUGGGGAAUGUUAGGCAAUGGGCGCAAGCCUGAUCCAGCCAGACCGCGUGGGUGAAGGAGGCCUUCGGGUUGUAAAGCCCUUUUGUUGGGAAAGAAAAGCAGCAGGUUGAUACGCCGCUGUUCUGACGGUACCCAAAGAAUAAGCACCGGCUAACUUCGUG
Molecule: ribosomal RNA, 492 nt
Filed under: uncultured bacterium
Lineage: Bacteria
Description: partial 16S ribosomal RNA
Rfam family: Bacterial small subunit ribosomal RNA
Source: RNAcentral